AAUCAAAAGCUGGUGAACCUUUAGCACCUGCCAUAAGCACAGUUCAGCUGAUGAUAACCACCAGUCACUGCUCUCAGCAAGAGACCUGAUUCCACCCAUCACGCUUGGACUGAGAUAGCAAUAAAACGUGUCCACAGUCUUCUAAAUAAAGGAAGAAAGAGACGAGGGCAUAGAAUGAUUAUGCUGGUGAAAGAAAGGAAGACUAGUGGAGUCUGAAAGAGAUGUGUGAAGGCUAGAAUCCAAAAAUGCAAAUGCCAACCAGAAGACUGCUGUUUUCUUCUUAACCCUUGUUAUCAGUGGGCUGUGGAUGCUUGGGGAGUAAAGCCUGGUGACAGCACUUUACAGAUGGGAAUGUGUUCAGGACAGAACAAGUUGAAGAAAGCAAAAGGGGAACUAUAA
RNAcentral lists this long non-coding RNA (399 nucleotides) under Coturnix japonica (Japanese quail). RNAcentral describes it as "lncRNA (ENSCJPG00005008023.1)". The record is from RNAcentral. Lineage: Eukaryota; Metazoa; Chordata; Aves; Galliformes; Phasianidae.